UACACAUGCAAGUCGAACGAGAAAGCACUUCGGUGCGAGUACAGUGGCGGACGGGUGAGUAACGCGUGGGAAUCUGCCCAGUAGUGGGGGACAACUCGGGGAAACUCGAGCUAAUACCGCAUACCCCUUACGAGGGAAAGGCUUCGGCCGCUAUUGGAUGAGCCCGCGUCAGAUUAGCUUGUUGGUGGGGUAAAGGCCUACCAAGGCGACGAUCUGUAGCUGGUCUGAGAGGACGAUCAGCCACACUGGGACUGAGACACGGCCCAGACUCCUACGGGAGGCAGCAGUAGGGAAUAUUGGACAAUGGGGGAAACCCUGAUCCAGCAAUGCCGCGUGUGUGAAGAAGGCCUGCGGGUUGUAAAGCACUUUCAGUAGGGAAGAUAAUGACGGUACCUACAGAAGAAGCACCGGCUAACUCCGUGCCAGCAGCCGCGGUAAUACGGAGGGUGCGAGCGUUAAUCGGAAUUACUGGGCGUAAAGCGCACGUANGUGGUUUGGUAAGUCGGAUGUGAAAUCCCUG
This 520-nucleotide ribosomal RNA is filed under the name uncultured bacterium. Its description in RNAcentral is "bacterial SSU rRNA". It matches the Rfam family "Bacterial small subunit ribosomal RNA", at positions 50 to 605 of the family's 1533-position model. The record is from RNAcentral.